UAAAGACAUAAAGGGCAAAAAAAAGAAGAAAAGAAAAACGUACUUGAUGAUGUUGAACCCAUGUAAAAUUUAACUAGAGAUCAAGUGAGCAAAAAGGGUACUGAGAUUGAAGAAAUUGAAAAUUAACAUGGGGUAAUUUGGAUUAUCAGCACAAUCCAAUAGUUAAGGUUAAAUUGGGGGAAUCUGACAAAAAAAAAAUAAUAAUAAUCAGAUGUCAUGACUGAAGAGGAGAGAAAAUGGAUUGAGAGAAGAAGAUAGAAAGAACUCUUUGAAGAAAAUGAUUAAUUGAUAAUCGAGGAAGGAAGGAAUAAAAAGCGAGAAAAGAGAAAAAAUGAAAAAAGAGUUUUUCUAGGAUUAGAAGGCAUGCUUUUUGACGCUAAUAUGAAAACCUCCGUGUUUUCUAUUUGGGAGACUUGUAGAAAAUUUGGAAAACUCUUCAAAUUUUAUAACGGAAAAUUUUGGAAAAUAACUUAGAGAUAUUUUCUAAAUUUUCUUUUAAAUUUGGAAAACUAUUUCUUAACUUUUUUUUUGAAAAUUAAUCAAAGUGAACAGGAUAUUCUAAUUUCCAUUUUCUGUAGAAAAUUUUUUUAGAAGAUUAGGAAAUUCUCUCUAAGUAAACAGGCCCUUAAGUUUCCUUUGCAAUUGUCAAAAAAAUUUCACACACACAUACAAACAGAGAGAUGGAGGGAGAGAGUAGCAGGCUCCACAUGCAAAGCAUUUGUCUUUUCCUUGUAAAGCAAGUUGAUUGGUUAUAUACAUUAAGUUUCCUUAGCAAUUGUAGAAAAAAAAAAGUUCACACACAUAUAUACAUAGAGGGAUGGAGGGAGGGAGUAGUAGACUCCAACUGCAAAGCACUUGUCUUUUCCUUGUAAAGCAAGUUGAUUGGUUAUAUACAUUAAGUUUCCUUAGCAAUUGUAGAAAAAAAAAAGUUCACACACAUAUAUACAUAGAGGGAUGGAGGGAGGGAGUAGUAGACUCCAACUGCAAAGCAC
This 992-nucleotide unclassified non-coding RNA is filed under the name Hevea brasiliensis (rubber tree). The record is from RNAcentral. Lineage: Eukaryota; Viridiplantae; Streptophyta; Magnoliopsida; Malpighiales; Euphorbiaceae.